This 700-nucleotide ribosomal RNA is filed under the name uncultured bacterium. RNAcentral describes it as "bacterial SSU rRNA". It matches the Rfam family "Bacterial small subunit ribosomal RNA", at positions 56 to 742 of the family's 1533-position model. The record is from RNAcentral.
UGCAAGUCGAACGGCAGCACGGACUGGUUUACCAGUUGGGUGGCGAGUGGCGCACGGGUGAGUAAUGCGUAGGAAUAUACCUUGAAGUGGGGGAUAACCUGGGGAAACUCAGGCUAAUACCGCAUGAGCUCUAAGGAGGAAAGCUGGGGACCUGAGAGGGCCUGGCGCUUUAAGAUUAGCCUACGUCCGAUUAGCUAGUUGGCGGGGUAAAGGCCCACCAAGGCGACGAUCGGUAGCUGGUCUGAGAGGAUGAUCAGCCACACUGGGACUGAGACACGGCCCAGACUCCUACGGGAGGCAGCAGUGGGGAAUAUUGGACAAUGGGGGCAACCCUGAUCCAGCGAUGCCGCGUGUGUGAAGAAGGCCUACGGGUUGUAAAGCACUUUCGGUGGGGAGGAGGACAAUUAGGUUAAGGGGGGAGAUUGUUGGACGUUACCCACAUAAGAAGCACCGGCUAACUCCGUGCCAGCAGCCGCGGUAAUACGGAGGGUGCGAGCGUUAAUCGGAAUUACUGGGCGUAAAGGGUGCGUAGGCGGUUUGAUAAGUUAAGUGUGAAAGUCCUGGGCUCAACCUAGGGAAGUCACUUAAGACUGUCAGACUGGAGUAUAGGAGAGGGCAGUGGAAUUUCCGGUGUAGCGGUGAAAUGCGUAGAUAUCGGAAGGAACACCAGUGGCGAAGGCGGCUGCCUGGUCUAAUACUG